Molecule: non-coding RNA, 23 nt
Filed under: Cricetulus griseus (Chinese hamster)
Lineage: Eukaryota; Metazoa; Chordata; Mammalia; Rodentia; Cricetidae
Source: RNAcentral
UCCAGAGACCUCUGAAUGAAAGA